UGAGUAACGGCGAGCGAAAGGGAAGAGUCCAGCGCCGAAUCCCGCGCUUACUAGGCGUCGGGAAAUGUGGCGUUUGGGAGUGAGCGUGCCGAUAGGCGACUCUGCAGCAAGUCCCCCUGACCGGGGCUCUUUCCCAAAGUGGGUGCGAGGCCCAUAGCUGCUAGGUCCCCGUCGGAUGCGAUCUCCUUGGAGUCGGGUUGCUUGGGAGUGCAGCCCUAAUCGGGAGGUAAACUCCUCCUAAGACUAAAUACCGCCGUGAGACCGAUAGCAAACAAGUACCGUGAGGGAAAGUUGCAAAGAACUUUGAAGAGAGAGUUCAAGAGUACGUGAAACUGCUCAGAGGAAAACGGGUGGGCCCUCGAAAUCCUGUGGCGGGAGGAUUCAGUCGAGAGGCUUCGGAAGCUUUUUCAGGGGCGACGAAUGGGAUCCGCGACCGGACCCCCCCAGAGAAAGCUCUUUCGAGCCGACCGACGCAUUUCUUUCCCGUCCGAAGGACGCCGCAACGGGUUGGCGGGACGGCCUUAAGGUCGGAUACCGGCAGGUGGCCGGUGGUCCUCAUUUGCUGGAUCGCCGGUUGUUAGCCUUUCCUUCUGCUGGCCGUACCCCGACCCAGGUUAAAAGGGCCCUUUCAAUGGGCCUCUCCGCCUCCUCCGUUAAAUUGGUUGCGAGUAGACGUGGCAGGUGAGACCCUUGUCUCUCAGGCGGGCGCACGGACUCACUCCGUGGCCCAGCUUGCAAGGGUCCCCGAGC
Molecule: ribosomal RNA, 750 nt
Filed under: Chrysometa alboguttata
Lineage: Eukaryota; Metazoa; Arthropoda; Arachnida; Araneae; Tetragnathidae
Description: eukaryotic LSU rRNA
Rfam family: Eukaryotic large subunit ribosomal RNA
Source: RNAcentral